GACGAACUGCCCAAACGUUGUUCGGAAUCACUGGGCUUAAAGGGCGCGUAGGCGGGUACACAAGUCAGGGGUGAAAUCCGGCAGCUCAACUGUCGAAGUGCCUUUGAUACUGUGUAUCUUGAGGGAGGUAGGGGUCUGUGGAACUUCUGGUGGAGCGGUGAAAUGCGUUGAUAUCAGAAGGAACGCCGGUGGCGAAAGCGACGGACUGGACCUCUUCUGACGCUGAGGCGCGAAAGCUAGGGGAGCAAACGGG
This 253-nucleotide ribosomal RNA is filed under the name uncultured bacterium. Its description in RNAcentral is "partial 16S ribosomal RNA". It matches the Rfam family "Bacterial small subunit ribosomal RNA", at positions 524 to 776 of the family's 1533-position model. The record is from RNAcentral.